This 492-nucleotide ribosomal RNA is filed under the name uncultured bacterium. RNAcentral describes it as "partial 16S ribosomal RNA". It matches the Rfam family "Bacterial small subunit ribosomal RNA", at positions 29 to 507 of the family's 1533-position model. The record is from RNAcentral.
AGUGAACGCUGGCGGUAGGCCUAACACAUGCAAGUCGAACGGCAGCACAGUAAGAGCUUGCUCUUACGGGUGGCGAGUGGCGGACGGGUGAGGAAUACAUCGGAAUCUACUUUUUCGUGGGGGAUAACGUAGGGAAACUUACGCUAAUACCGCAUACGACCUACGGGUGAAAGCAGGGGAUCUUCGGACCUUGCGCGAUUGAAUGAGCCGAUGUCGGAUUAGCUAGUUGGCGGGGUAAAGGCCCACCAAGGCGACGAUCCGUAGCUGGUCUGAGAGGAUGAUCAGCCACACUGGAACUGGACCACGGUCCAGACUCCUACGGGAGGCAGCAGUGGGGAAUAUUGGACAAUGGGCGCAAGCCUGAUCCAGCCAUACCGCGUGGGUGAAGAAGGCCUUCGGGUUGUAAAGCCCUUUUGUUGGGAAAGAAAAGCAGCAGGUUAAUACCCCGCUGUUCUGACGGUACCCAAAGAAUAAGCACCGGCUAACUUCGUG